GAUGAACGCUGGCGGCGUGCCUAAUACAUGCAAGUCGAGCGAACAGACGAGGAGCUUGCUCCUCUGACGUUAGCGGCGGACGGGUGAGUAACACGUGGAUAACCUACCUAUAAGACGGGGAUAACUUCGGGAAACCGGAGCUAAUACCGGAUAAUAUAUUUAACCGCAUGGUUCAAUAGUGAAAUACGGUUUUGCUGUCACUUAUAGAUGGAUCCCGGCCGCAUUGGCUAGUUGGGAAGGUAACGGCUUACCAAGGCAACGAUGCGUAGCCGACCUGAGAGGGUGAUCGGCCACACUGGAACGGAGCCACGGUCCAGACUCCUACGGGAGGCAGCAGUAGGGAAUCUUCCGCAAUGGGCGAAAGCAUGACGGAGCAAGGCCGCGUGAGUGAUGAAGGUCUUCGGAUCGUAAAAAUCUGUUAUUAGGGAAGAACAAAUGUGUAAGUAACUAUGCACGUAUUGACGGUACCUAAUCAGAAAGCCACGGCUAACUACGUG
Molecule: ribosomal RNA, 497 nt
Filed under: uncultured bacterium
Lineage: Bacteria
Description: partial 16S ribosomal RNA
Rfam family: Bacterial small subunit ribosomal RNA
Source: RNAcentral